This 96-nucleotide non-coding RNA is filed under the name unclassified sequences. Its description in RNAcentral is "RT-17 RNA". It matches the Rfam family "RT-17 RNA". From Rfam's summary of the family: Bacteroidales (Bacteroidetes), Clostridiales (Firmicutes). Nearby to self- splicing intron genes The record is from Rfam by way of RNAcentral.
AGCCAUGCCCCUUGGCAAAACACAAAGCAAUGCCUCAUUCGUGUUGGUAGUCCCGUUUUUUUCGGGGUCGAAUACUCGGAGGUGAAAUAAGCAAAA